This 222-nucleotide ribosomal RNA is filed under the name uncultured bacterium. RNAcentral's name for it is "partial 16S ribosomal RNA". It matches the Rfam family "Bacterial small subunit ribosomal RNA", at positions 109 to 334 of the family's 1533-position model. The record is from RNAcentral.
AGUAAUGUAUGGGGAUCUGCCCGAUAGAGGGGGGUAACUACUGGAAACGGUGGCUAAUACCGCAUAAUGUCUACGGACCAAAGCAGGGGCUCUUCGGACCUUGCACUAUCGGAUGAACCCAUACGGGAUUAGCUAGUAGGUGGGGUAAAGGCUCACCUAGGCGACGAUCUCUAGCUGGUCUGAGAGGAUGAUCAGCCACACUGGGACUGAGACACGGCCCAG